Molecule: ribosomal RNA, 253 nt
Filed under: uncultured bacterium
Lineage: Bacteria
Description: partial 16S ribosomal RNA
Rfam family: Bacterial small subunit ribosomal RNA
Source: RNAcentral
UACAGAGGGGGCAAGCGUUGUUCGGAAUUACUGGGCGUAAAGGGCGCGUAGGCGGCCUUCUAAGUCGAACGUGAAAUCCCUGGGCUCAACCCAGGAACUGCGUCCGAUACUGGAAGGCUUGAAUCCGGGAGAGGGAUGCGGAAUUCCAGGUGUAGCGGUGAAAUGCGUAGAUAUCUGGAGGAAUACCGGUGGCGAAGGCGGCAUCCUGGACCGAGAUUGACACUGAUGAGCGAAAGCUAGGGGAGCAAACGGG